Molecule: long non-coding RNA, 242 nt
Organism: Suricata suricatta (meerkat)
Lineage: Eukaryota; Metazoa; Chordata; Mammalia; Carnivora; Herpestidae
Exons: 3
Source: RefSeq, a predicted model, not a curated record
AGCUAGGUGCUGAUCUCCCCGACCACGCGCGGCAGCCUCCGGCGGCGGCUCACCCCCCACGGCUCCUCGCCCUCGGCCUAUCGUCAGAGACCGUGACCUGUCCGGCGAGAGGCCGGAGAGGGAGAGUGCAAUGGUUGCUGCUGGAGAGCAACUAGAAGCAAGGCACAAGGCCUCACAGUGACCUGAGAUUAGAACCAGGUGACGCAAAAUGAUUGAUUCUGAAAAUGAACACUGAAGAAAUA